Callithrix jacchus (white-tufted-ear marmoset) is the source of this 2684-nucleotide non-coding RNA. The record is from RefSeq and is a predicted model, not a curated record. Lineage: Eukaryota; Metazoa; Chordata; Mammalia; Primates; Cebidae.
CCAGAGAGCUGGCUAGUCCCUUCCACCAUGUGAGGACCCAGUGAGGAGGCACGGUCUAUGAAAAUAAGAAUUUUGCUCUGUGUGAAACUGCAUACCUAUUCGUCCAUUUGUUCAGCAAGCACUGAAUGAACUUGUGCUAAGAAGCAGGCGCAGUGCCGUGGGCAAAGGAGACUGAGAUGGAGUCCCUGACCUCAAGGAUUCACUGUCUAACAGAGGAGAAAGACUGGGGAACUUCCAGGUGGAGGUAUCAGCUACGUACCUGGAAAUGUGAGUCUAAAGCGUGGGAGAGUUAUCCGAGCUAAGGAAAACAGACUGGGGGUUGUCCUCAUGCAUCUGUUUUCCUUCAUUACAUGAGUCAUGAAUGCUAAUUGAAGAAGAACUAGAAAAUUCAGAUGUGCGAAAUAAAACAUCACCUGGAAUUCUUCCACCCAUAUUACUGCUGUUAAUAUUUUGGUAGGUAGACUUCCAGACUUUAUUUUUAUGUGUAUAUAAUGACUUUUUAAAUAUUUUUUUUCUAAAACUUGGCAUAAAAUACAUAUUGUUUUGUAAACUAUUUUUCACGUAACAAUGUAUUGUGGACACUUUUUCAUGUCAGUGAAUGUAGUUCUACAAUCCAUACCCAUAUUGUUAAUGGCGGUAGGGUAGUGUACUGUAAAGGUUCAGAUAGGUGUCAGGAUGAUAUGUAAUCAGGAAUCUGCUGUCAGUGACUUUGCAGGAUCCUGGAGGUUGGGAGGGGUGCUAUGAGGUGAAGUUGGAUGAAUACUGCCAUCAUAGCCGGCAAGGAGUAGACUUUGGAUCUGGAAAUUAAAGAGUGUCCAAACUAAUGCCUGUUCCUGGCAAAAUUCUAGAAAUGAUUAUUAUAUGUGGGGUCUGGCAAUGCUUAGCAAAAAGAAUAACAUUUGGCAGAAGCCAGCCUGCGGUCUCUACAAACACAUACCAAAGGAUAGAAUAUCAUGCUUCUUUUGUUGAUAAGGAUACAGAAUGAAGAGGUUAGGGGAAUGCUGAAGACAUUGCUUUUUUUUACUUUCAACAGGGCAUGAAGCAGUUUGUCAUCGUAUUCCCGUAUGUGAUGGGAAAAUGCGGGCUGCAUCAUGGCCCUGUUUGGAGGAUUCAUAGCUGGUGACUCACUGUACCCAAAGAGAUGUGAUGACAGGUUUUCUGUCUUGCCAGCAAGACGUCUCUGAGCCUGUGACUCAGCCCUGGCCACACGAUGUUUCUAUCAGUGACUCAGAUGAAGAUGUAGGUGUCAGGCUCAUCACACCUUCAGAUGACACAAAGAGGCACAGGCUCACUAAUAGACUGGGUGACAGAAUUGAGGUUCAAAAUGAUUGUGGCAGGCUGGAAUGAUGAUCCAACAUGAGCAAGUGACAUUUGGAGAGUGUGGAUGUAGAGUCCUGCAGGCAGGUUAAAAAGAUCAGAAGUGAAAAUGUGGGACCAUGAGUCUCGGCUUAGAAAUGAAUCACUUGAAAAAGACAAAGUUUAUCUGACAGCAAAUUCAGAUGUGUGGGCACUAUCAGGAGUCUGUUGAUUCCCAGGCUGCCUCAGUAGAUGCAGGAAGCCUGGAAGAAAGGUCAGUGUUCCCACUGGGGCCUGUAGUUUGCUAGGUUCAGGCUUGGGAACCCUCAGAACAAAGUCCAGGGGAAAGCAAUCCCCAUGGUGAAGGAUCUAAACACAAAGACUGUUUUUUUUGUUUUUUUUUUUGAGACAGAGUCUCACUCAGUCUCCCAAGCUGGAGUGCAGUGAUGUAAUCUCGGCUCACUGCAACCUCCGCCUCCCAGGUUCAAUCGAUUCUUCUGCCUCAGCCUCCCAAGUAGCUGGGACCACAGGCACACGCCACCAAGCCUGGAUAAUUUUUGUAUUUUUAGUAGAGAGGGGGGUUUUGCCAUGUUGGCCAGAUGGUCUCAAACUCCUGACCUCAGGUGAUCCACCCACCUUGGCCUCCCAAAGUGUUGGGAUUACAGGCGUGAGCCACUGCACCCAGCCCUAAACACAAAGUCUUAAAGUAGGGUGGUCAUUCAAGUUAUUAUCUAAACUGGGACACGAUGGGAGUGAAAGUAUUAUUAAUCACUAGAAUGCAUAAUUCUAUCGUGGAGGCAUCUUGGAGGGACUGGGACUUUUUAUACUAGAGAAGAAAUAACCAAGGACUUAUUAUAUUUGAGUCAGGAAACUUAUUUUUAUAGCUCAUUCUCUUUUUUAGAAAAAUCAUUAUUUAGAGGUCAAGACUGGAGGAUCACUUGAAGCCAGACCAACCUGGGCAACAUAGUCGGACCCUAUCUCUAAAAAAAAAAAAAUGUAAAAUUAGCCAGGUAUGGUGGCCCCUGUGUGUAGUCCCAGCUAUUCACAAGACUGAAUUGGGAGGAUCCCUUAAUGACAGGAGUUUGAGGUUACAGUGAAGCUGGGGCAACAGGCAGAGACCCUGUCUCUAAAACAAACAGAUAAAUAAAUAUUUAAAAAGGAAUACCUGCUCAUUGAAAAAAAUUCAAAUAAUAAACAACUCUCUUCUAUCAAAUAAGAAUAAAGCUAGCACAUACCUUGUCGAUUUGCUAUGAGGAUUAAAUGAGUGUAAGGUGUUUAGAGCAGUGCAUGGCAUAAGUUUGUAAGAUACAAAUAAAUAUAAAACUGUUUAAAAGGGAAAAAAGCUCUUCUUUUCCUCACCCCUCCCAUCUCUAUAUCAGUUACAUGUU